UUUAGGACCCGUACCUUUCUCUUCAAACCCCAAUGUCUGUUUCAUUUUCUUUCUUUUCUUAUCAUUCUGACACACUAAGGUAUUACCACUCAUUUCAGUCCCAGAUAACCUUCUUUAUAACCAUCUUCAUUUAUUAGGUCAAAUGUAAAGAACAACCUGCAGCAAUUGAUUUCUUGCAACCCCCAUCCACUAAAAUAUUUUGCAAUCAGUGUUAGAUAUUAGUGGCUUUCAUGUUGCCACAAAUGAGGACUUUGUCACACCUUGCAAUUAAUGGGGUCAUGUAUUUGAUUGUUCAAUCCAAGUAUUUGUUCUUCUUUGAUAUGAAUAUCAAAUAUGGGCGUUUUGUUUAUUUGAUUAGUCCAAAUUUCGCUUUGAUAUGCAUAUACGAAGUUCCUGACAAUAGCAAAAUGUUCUUCUGCAGGGAUUUUGGAUAACGUGUACAUGUUUCAUGAUGAAUCAGAGCAAAUUGCUGCCUUGGUAGAAGUCUCUUCUCUGGUGCAUGCAAAAAUUAUCGCCCACAGCAACAUUAUUGUUCCUUUUUAAUUAUGAAAUGUAUAUAUACAUUUUACGAGUCUGCAGAUAAACAAGGACCCCACCAUGGGAAGAGCUAGAGCACAGAAAUUACAUGAUUCUCUGUUGACUGAUUGAAGUUUACAGUAUCAUAGACAUAAGGUAUGCAACUCAUGAUGCAUGUGGGAACUCAAGAGAGGUAACGUUGAUUAGGCAAAAAAUAAUCAAUCUAUAGAGCUUAUAAAGCAAUGGGUUCAAGGGAACAAACUAAGUCUCUAUGGAUCUAGCUAGUGCAGAAGAAAUUGUGUUAGCUUGGUUCUCUCUCUCUCUUCUCCUCUAAAAACACUCUCUCAGAGAGAAAGAGAGAGAGAGUGGGAGAGAGUUUGUGUGGAGGUUAGUGCGAGUUUGUGUGUGUUUGUGCCAGUUACACCAGCAUGAUGACUAAAAAGAGCUUUCAGUGCUUUCAUUUCCUCUCCCUGACACCAAGAAAGUUUUGACAGGUCAUUACACUUUCUUUUUUGACCUGCUGCGUCAAAAGAGACUGUACACUCUUUCAUCAAUAACUACUUGUGAUUAAUCCAUAAUUAUCUCCAUAACCCAUAAUUACAAACUUCAUUAUCAUCAAUUUCUUUGAUAGUGACAGACAGUGGGCGUCUACGUAAAUUUACCUUGGGCUAAGGCAACCCCAUUUGUGGGCUAUAAAUGGGGUAGAUUAAAAAUUGUUUAGUGCAUGAAUGUACAAUGGUAGAAGUUGGAGACAGCAUCUGAUUGUGGGUGAUGUAAGCAAGAGAAGUUUGUUGGGGAGUACAAGUAAAUGAAGGCUUGGAUUUUAUGGACAUGCAUGGUGGUGAAUGGUGAUGGCUCUAGUGGAUAUAUUAUAUGUAUAUGUUACUAUGGCUCUUUGUUGUUUUCUAAUAACACUUCCAAGAAAUUUCAUGUAUGUGGCAGCAAAGAAUUGGAGAGAAGUUGUUUGGUAUGGGAGAAAAGAAUGGCACAAGUGUCUUGUUCAAGUUAAAUAAUAGAUGCUGCAUGCCCCAUCCCUUUCUUCUACUUAAGGUUGUGGAAUAUCUGCUCUUCCCAUCCCUCACUUCACAUUAAAAUAAUAUACUUCAAUCUUAAGAAAGAACCACAAAAGAUUGCCUUUUUAGGGUUUGCAAGUGAUUUUUAUAUUAUGUUUAAGAUAGAUUACCAGACAAUAUCUAAUGAUGCAUACUAAAAAGCAG
RNAcentral lists this long non-coding RNA (1733 nucleotides) under Manihot esculenta (cassava). RNAcentral describes it as "long non-coding RNA (MESC_LNC002736)". The record is from RNAcentral. Lineage: Eukaryota; Viridiplantae; Streptophyta; Magnoliopsida; Malpighiales; Euphorbiaceae.